GAGGAGACUGAUGGGGAGUGACCUGUGAGGUAGCAGGACCAGGUGAACUGGAAUCCCCAGGUCCAGAUAAGUGAGGGUUUCCAGGAGGAGGAGUGGUCGACUCAGCUGCUGCUGAGAAGCUCAGCGAGACCAAGAAGUGACCCCCGGAUUGGGCAGCGGAGAGGUUGAUCCUUCUAGUCUCGUGGCAGAACUUUGUAGACACCAAGCGAGCGGGGCAGCGUGUUCUGGACCUCAUUCCUCACACAGGGCUCACCUCCGGAUGAGUCAGAGGCCUUAGCCGGUGGCCCAGCCCCGGGAAUGCCACCCCGGUUCUGUACCCUGCCCAGGCCAGCUGACAGGGUGUAUUGGGGCACACACCUGCAGCAUCCAGGGCACUCCAAGGAGAGGGACGUACUUUUGAGGAGAGUCUAAAAGUCUAAGUCCCCCACCUGAACUUGGUGGGGGAAGGGCUUCUAUACCAGGAGGGCUCCCAGCCCUGUUUCUUAAAGGCCAUUUAGGCAGAAGUGAACGUGGUCUCUUCAAUAAAGUUAAUAAUGGUUCAUGCUGCAGAAAAUGUUCAAGACAAAACCCUGCUUAUUUACUCAGGCUUUAAAACCAUAAAACUCCCAAAUUCUCCCUGUAGCUAUUUAUAUCCAGAGCUAGUCCCC
This 647-nucleotide long non-coding RNA is filed under the name Homo sapiens (human). Lineage: Eukaryota; Metazoa; Chordata; Mammalia; Primates; Hominidae. The record is from RNAcentral.